UACGUAGGGGGCAAGCGUUGUCCGGAUUUAUUGGGCGUAAAGAGCGUGUAGGCGGUUUGGUAGGUCCGCUGUGAAAACUCGAGGCUCAACCUCGAGACGCCGGUGGAAACCAUCAGACUAGAGUCCGGAAGAGGAGAGUGGGAUUCCUGGUGUAGCGGUGAAAUGCGCAGAUAUCAGGAAGAACACCCGUGGCUAAGGCGGCUCUCUAGUACGGUACUGACGCUGAGACGCGAAAGCGUGGGGAGCGAACAGG
Molecule: ribosomal RNA, 253 nt
Filed under: uncultured bacterium
Lineage: Bacteria
Description: partial 16S ribosomal RNA
Rfam family: Bacterial small subunit ribosomal RNA
Source: RNAcentral